AAAAAGUUAACUUUCUUUUGUUUUUGACGUCCUCAUUUCUUCUUCUGAAUAGCUAUGAAAGGCAGAACAAUCAAAAUUAAUCUUGAACAUUUACAUAAAAAGAAUGGAACAUUAUCCUGCAAAGCACCUUCUUCCAAAUGAUCAACGGCAGGGAUCUUAUUCACCAUCUGAAGAGCUAAAUAUUAAAUAAGAGCUGCUUAGGAAGUUAGCUGCAGACUGCAGCCUGCAGUAAUGAAGAUGUGUCAUCACAGUAGAAUAAAUGUAAAAGCGUGUUCAUCAGCAAAAUAAGUGCCUUGCAUUAUUUACCACUACUGAACAAUUUUGAGCUGAUGAUACCUGGUAUUAUCGCUUUCCUCAAUCUGCGAAGAAUCUUGGAUGUGAUAGUGUAUCCAUCUUUGGUCCAAUGAAAUGAAAAAAACAAACUCGUUAAGGUAUACCAAGAAAAUGCUAGAAUAUAAUUAGUAUGCAAACCUGUCUAGAAUCCCCAGCCAAUUCAAAAACAUCCGGAAUCCCAGAGACGAAUAAAUGCACUUCACACGUAGAAAUAGGAAAUAAACGUGUAGGAUGGUGUCUUCUUUGACUUCGUCUCAGCAACAGCACGUUGUAGACAAAUGGAAAUCAGUGCACACCAUUCAGCAAUCGAUUACACUUUUGUGUUCCAGCUUUCGACAAUCAUGUAAUUGUGUUCUCUUUCUUUAUUUUCCACCGUCUCUGCCAUUUACAAAAACUCAAGCCACACUAUUCUGCAUAAUUAGGGGAAAAAACAAGGUUAAGAAUAGUCUUUAUUCUUCCCUCUGAUUUUUUCUCAUUCAACCACUGAAGAAUUAAAGACAAAACUUAUCUCUUAGCCGAUGUAAGAUUCAUGUAA
Molecule: long non-coding RNA, 868 nt
Organism: Daphnia carinata
Lineage: Eukaryota; Metazoa; Arthropoda; Branchiopoda; Diplostraca; Daphniidae
Exons: 3
Source: RefSeq, a predicted model, not a curated record